GGGGAAAAAAGAAAGAAAAAGACAAGGAAAAAUCGAUUGAAAAGCAAUGCUAAGCAAAUCAAAGUGAUAGUCACUUGAGCCAGGAUUUAGCGACCGUAGUAGUGCUAUUCUAAUGGUGGGAAGUAGCCUCCGAGAUUCUAUUAAAUCUUUUUAGUCAUUGUCUGCACUGUUACAUGUAUAGAUUAUGUGUCAUGGCUGUUGUCCAUAUACUUGCCAAUGCCCCCUUUCGAAAGUUUUAGAAUGUCACAUUUGCAGAAAGAUUUCAAGGCUGGUAAGCAAAUCAGGCUACAAGCUUACUCAAGCCAUAAAAUCUGUAAUAGACCAACUAAAGUUUGCCAUAUUAACGAUGGCAGAACAACUAAUUUUACCUAGUUAGUCCUGGCAUGCCUUCUUCAGAGUUCUUCUGUUAUACUUAUUCCAAAAUGACCAUUUAAUGCUAGGGGCUGCAUCCAAAAUUUAUGCAUAUUAGUUGGUGUUAUUUUCUGCAUCAAAUGUCAAAGCACACAUGCUGGUUGAGGCAUAACAAACUGAGCUAUGGAGAAGGGGAUCCAAAUUUUACUAUAACAUCGUAGUGCAGUAAUACAGAUUCCGUCUCUUUUCAGCUUAGAUCGUAAUUGGAGUAAUAGCUGAUCUUUUCAAUCUUUUCUGCAUGAUGCUUCACUAAGCACAACUAGCCU
RNAcentral lists this long non-coding RNA (677 nucleotides) under Coffea arabica (coffee). RNAcentral describes it as "long non-coding RNA (CARA_LNC004278)". Lineage: Eukaryota; Viridiplantae; Streptophyta; Magnoliopsida; Gentianales; Rubiaceae. The record is from RNAcentral.